AAGGGGCAGUAAUACAUGAACAACCUACCCUGGGGAUGGGCAUAGCCGGUCUAACGGCCGGGUAAUUCCCAGAGAUUCGGCGAGGAGGCAUCUCUUUGCCGGGAAAUGAAUUUCGCCUCGGGAGGGGUUCAUGAGCUAUCAGCUUGUUGGCGGGGUAAUGGCCCACCAAGGCUUAGACGGCUAGCGGGUGUGAGAGCACGACCCGCGCCACUGGCACUGAGACACUGGCCAGACACCUACGGGUGGCUGCAGUCGAGGAUCUUCGUCAAUGGGCGCAAGCCUGAACGAGCGAUGCCGCGUGAGCGAUGAAGGCCUUCGGGUUGUAAAGCUCAAAAGAAGCGAGAAAGGGAAACUUGAUCAAGCUUCAGUAAGCUCGGGCUAAGUUCGUGCCAGCAGCCGCGGUAAGACGAACCGAGCGAACGUUGUUCGGAAUCACUGGGCUUAAAGGGCGCGUAGGCGGGUGCUCAAGUCUGUGGUGAAAUCCUCCGGCUCAACCGGAGAACUGCCAUGGAUACUGGGUGUCUCGAGGGUGGUAGGGGUAUGCGGAACUAUUGGUGGAGCGGUGAAAUGCGUUGA
This 576-nucleotide ribosomal RNA is filed under the name uncultured bacterium. RNAcentral describes it as "bacterial SSU rRNA". It matches the Rfam family "Bacterial small subunit ribosomal RNA", at positions 102 to 694 of the family's 1533-position model. The record is from RNAcentral.